GACGAAGAACGCAGCGAAAUGCGACAAGUAAUGUGAAUUGCAGAAUUCAGUGAAUCAUCGAAUCUUUGAACGCACCUUGCGCCCUUUGGCUAUUCCGAAGGGCAUGCCUGUUUGAGUAUCGUGAACACCUCAACUCUCAUGGUUUGCCAUGAUGAGCUUGGACUUUGGGGGUUUUGCUGGCCUUUGGUCGGCUCCUCUCAAACGGAUCAGCUUUCCAGUGUUUGGUGGCGUCACGGGUGUGAUAACUAUCUACGCCUGUGGUUUUCUGCCAGAUAACCUUCAGCGAUGGAGGUUCGCUGGGGCUCAUAAAUGUCUCUCUUCAGUGGAGACAGCUUUUUGGACGUUUGAUCUCAAAUCAGGUAGGACUACCCGCUGAACUUAAGCAUAUCAAUAAGCGGAGGA
Molecule: unclassified non-coding RNA, 402 nt
Filed under: soil metagenome
Description: partial contains 5.8S ribosomal RNA, internal transcribed spacer 2, and large subunit ribosomal RNA
Rfam family: 5.8S ribosomal RNA (bases 1-121)
Source: RNAcentral